Molecule: ribosomal RNA, 255 nt
Filed under: uncultured archaeon
Lineage: Archaea
Description: partial 16S ribosomal RNA
Rfam family: Archaeal small subunit ribosomal RNA
Source: RNAcentral
UAGCCGUAAACGAUACUCGCUAGGUGUCGGCCACGGUGCGACCGUUGUCGGUGCCGUAGGGAAGCCGUGAAGCGAGCCACCUGGGAAGUACGGCCGCAAGGCUGAAACUUAAAGGAAUUGGCGGGGGAGCACAACAACGGGUGGAGCUUGCGGUUUAAUUGGAUUCAACGCCGGAAAUCUUACCGGGACCGACAGCAACAUGAAGGCCAAGCUGAAGACUUUGCCGGAUUAGCUGAGAGGAGGUGCAUGGCGUAG